Molecule: ribosomal RNA, 253 nt
Filed under: uncultured bacterium
Lineage: Bacteria
Description: partial 16S ribosomal RNA
Rfam family: Bacterial small subunit ribosomal RNA
Source: RNAcentral
UACGUAGGGUGCGAGCGUUAAUCGGAAUUACUGGGCGUAAAGCGUGCGCAGGCGGUUUUGUAAGCCCGGUGUGAAAUCCCCGGGCUCAACCUGGGAAUGGCAUUUGGGACUGCAAGGCUGGAGUGCGGCAGAGGAGACUGGAAUUCCUGGUGUAGCAGUGAAAUGCGUAGAUAUCAGGAGGAACACCGAUGGCGAAGGCAGGUCUCUGGGCUGACACUGACGCUCAUGCACGAAAGCGUGGGGAGCAAACAGG